RNAcentral lists this ribosomal RNA (504 nucleotides) under uncultured Actinomycetes bacterium. RNAcentral's name for it is "bacterial SSU rRNA". It matches the Rfam family "Bacterial small subunit ribosomal RNA", at positions 381 to 896 of the family's 1533-position model. The record is from RNAcentral. Lineage: Bacteria; Bacillati; Actinomycetota; Actinomycetes.
ACCUGACGCAGCGACGCCGCGUGAGGGAUGAAGGCCUUCGGGUUGUAAACCUCUUUCAGCAGGGAGAAGCGAAAGUGACGGUACCUGCAGAAGAAGCACCGGCUAACUACGUGCCAGCAGCCGCGGUAAUACGUAGGGUGCAAGCGUUGUCCGGAAUUAUUGGGCGUAAAGAGCUCGUAGGCGGUUUGUCGCGUCUGCUGUGAAAUCCCAGGGCUUAACCCUGGGCCUGCAGUGGGUACGGGCAAACUAGAGUGCGGUAGGGGAGAUCGGAAUUCCUGGUGUAGCGGUGAAAUGCGCAGAUAUCAGGAGGAACACCGGUGGCGAAGGCGGAUCUCUGGGCCGUAACUGACGCUGAGGAGCGAAAGCAUGGGUAGCGAACAGGAUUAGAUACCCUGGUAGUCCAUGCCGUAAACGUUGGGCGCUAGGUGUGGGGCUCAUUCCACGAGUUCCGUGCCGCAGCUAACGCAUUAAGCGCCCCGCCUGGGGAGUACGGCCGCAAGGCUA